RNAcentral lists this non-coding RNA (25 nucleotides) under Rattus norvegicus (Norway rat). Lineage: Eukaryota; Metazoa; Chordata; Mammalia; Rodentia; Muridae. The record is from RNAcentral.
AAUCGAGGGUGCUAAAUGUUCAGAA